AAAGACUGCUAUGAUAUUUUUCCUUCCAGUGUAAAAUAUUUAUAAUAAAUCAUUUACUGACAUAUCUAUUCAUUUGGUGGUUAAAUAGAUAUAAUCCAAUCACAAAAGGGUAACUGUAUGGUGGCUGGUUAAGGUAAUUUCGCGUUUUGGCCCUUCAUAUUCUGUAAGGCGAAAACACCAACAUGGCAAAAUCGCGAUAUAUUUGUCCGUCCGAUUUUGCGUUUUCUACGAAGCGCUUUUCGGUACAUAUUCAUUAAAUCAUAGUUGUUUCUCAGUUUAAACAAACUAAAAAAUAAUUGAUGUUGUUAUACUGUAAUAUUUUUGCAUUCAUGUGUUUUGAUAUCUUUACAGGUAAACUGGUAGUUUCAUAGAAAAUGCAUAGCACAUUAGUUCAAAUUCAUAGACAUGUUCUGGAAAGUUUCUGUGCCAGUUGAUAAAGAUGAUAAAGCUGAGCCUGAACUUGACCUUUUCACAUUAUUUUUCAUUUUCCGAAUUUCUGUGUCGGGUUCCUUUCCACAAAUCUGUUUCUUUAGACAAGAGAAGAAUGUGGCAUGUAAACAGGGUCAGCCACUGAAAUGUUAAUUUGAAUAUUAAUAAAACAAAUGUUCAAAACACUGCUGACUGCACUGUAAAGCCUGUAGUAAUUGUACUCUACAAUGCGUAUGUUUAAAAAAAACAGUUAUUAGACACAAGUGAAGGUG
Molecule: long non-coding RNA, 701 nt
Filed under: Mytilus galloprovincialis (Mediterranean mussel)
Lineage: Eukaryota; Metazoa; Mollusca; Bivalvia; Mytilida; Mytilidae
Source: RNAcentral